AGCCACAGUCAUAUCACCCUGCAGCCCAAGACUGGUUGCCCACUGAAGCUAAGCAGGGUUGAGCCUGGUCAGUACCUGGAUGGGAGACCUCCUGGGAAAACUAGGUUGCUGUUGGAA
This 117-nucleotide ribosomal RNA is filed under the name Sinocyclocheilus rhinocerous. Lineage: Eukaryota; Metazoa; Chordata; Actinopteri; Cypriniformes; Cyprinidae. The record is from RNAcentral.